UCAGAGUAUGUUACUAAAGCAUUAUUGUUUUCUUUUGGAAACAUGGUACUGCCUUAUUUUUUCAUACUUCCUGUGUCCUUACAUUGAUGUUUGCAUAUCUAGCAGAUUCAUUGUUUCUAUCACUGUUCAGAAGUGACUUUCAUUGCAAAAGGCUUUCUCUUAAAGAUGUGUCUUCAAAUACUAGCUUGGUAGGCUAUUUUGAUCUUAUUUCCAAAUGGAUUCUACAAUAUCAUAACUUUAUAUCUUUUCAACAAUUGGUGGCAGUUUCAGUGGGGGCAUAGAGUAUUACUUUCAGUCCCACCAAGGAUGCAUAAGUUUUGGUAGAAUCCUAUGGGGCAUGGGCUGGGGUCAUAGUGCACUUUCCCUCAGUCCACUAUAGUUGGAGUUGUGGAAGUGCCAGGUCAGAGACCCGGAGAGGCUGCUCAGAUAACCACAUUGGCAUGGUCAAAGGCAAGGUCAUAGCAGCAUGGAUCCUAGUCCAGCAGAAACACACAAGUCUCUGCCGUGCCAAAUCCAGGUGUCCAUGAUAUGUGUUGACACCCAGCUUUAUUUUCUUUCUCCAUGAAGACAAUUACUCCCAAUGUUAUGCUUCUUGAUUUAAGGAAAGAUUGGUUGGAGUAGUCCUAUGUCCAUCUGUGCCUUAAUGUUAUAUCACACCCACAACUCACAGCCAGCUAUGAUGCAGCACAACACAGGGUAGCACCAAGGCCUACUUUGCUGUAUGCUACCUGUUGCAUAAGACUCCAAGUCCAGUUGACUGGAGCCACAGUCUCCAUUUGGGACUGUGGUAGAUCCAGGGACUAUGUCCAAGGCACUGACUGGAGACAGGGACAUUUUAUGUCUUCUCAGUGAUGUCUUUACCAUAUCCAAAAUGCAGCCCUAUGCUCCUUUGAUACCCUACUCCCCAGUGGCUAUAGUCUUGCUCAUUGCUGUCUACCCAUGGCUGCUAAAUCAUAAAUGUAGUCCUUUGACUCCCCAAAGUGACAUUAAGCUAGGUUACACCUAAGUCAAACAGCUAUACAGGGCACUUCAUUGUCUUGUAGAUGCACACCAAGUCUUCAAGAGGCUGGGAGUUGGGCCAACAUUGUGGCAGGUAAAGCUGCUGCCUGUGAAUUCAGCAUCCUACAUGGUUGCCAGUUCAUACCCCAGCUACUCCACUUGUGAUACAGCUCCCUGUUAAUGGCCUGGGAAAACAAUGGAAGAUGGCCCAAGUAUUUGGGCUCCUGUUACUCCCUGGGUGAAUUGGAUAAAGCUCCUGGCCUUAGCCUUGCCCAGCCCUGGCUGUUGUGGCCAUGUAGGGAAUGAAUCAAUGGAUGGAAGAUCUCUCUCUCUUUCUCUCUACUUCUGAUUUUCAAAUAAAAUAAAAUAUUUUUUUUUAAAAAAGGCAGGGGCCAGUAUUGUAGCAUAAUGGGUAAAUAGUGGGUAAAGCUGCCAUCUGUGCCAUCCCAUAUGGGUAUUAGUUCAAGUCCUGCUUGCUUCACUUCUGUUCUAGCUCACAGUUAAUAUUCCUGGAAAGCAGUAGAGGAUGGACCAACUUGGCCUUCUGCAUCUAUGUUGGAGACUUGGAAGAAACUCCUGGCCCAGUCCUUGCUGUUGUCACCUGGGGCAGUGAACCAAUGGAUGGAAGAUAUCUUUCUUUGUGUCUCUACACCUUUCUCUCUACCUUUCAAAUAAAUAAAGUCAAUCUGAAAAAUAAAUAGAGAGCGAGCUUGGGGGUAAUGUGGGAUGAAAUGUUGAUCAUUCCACCAGGCCAUGGGUCUCCACCUAAUGCCAGUCAAGAUUUAGAGGCUGUGUCUGUGAGCAAACUGUGGAAGCAUUUAGGCUUUAGGUGGUGCUGAGUCUCGCCAGGAGAGCACUGAGCUUCAAAGCAGAGUCCUAAGUUCAUUUUCUCACCUUAUUUUCCAAAAGCUUAAGUCUUCCUCUGCUGUCCAUUGAAGGUCAAGGGAGGGAUGGUGAAUGUGGUCCCUUGAUCACGUGGUUAAGGAUAGACCAAAGAUUCAGUCUACAAGUAGAAGCGUGGGGGAAAAAGCUAUGAGGUUCUGUCUGAUGUUCGGUUUUGCCAAAGCAAGGUUUAUACUGGGUUCAAGUCUAAGGUCUGGACUUUACUCCCUUUCCCUCCUCCAAGCAGGAGGUGUCUCUCCACACUGAACUAAAUGGAGCUAAUGGAGGGGUAACAAAGCAAUUAUUCCCUUCCUUAUUGUGAUGGUGACUUGGUACAUGAAGAGCUGUUCAAAUUGUUGUCUUUGUGGGGAGAUGUUCACUGGAACUCCUUACCCAGGCACCAUCUUGCUCCACUUUCCAGCAAGCCCUCUUUGUUUUAGGUCAGUGUUUAGGUUACACUGAAGGGUUCUGGCUGAUGCAAAGGGACAAAGGAGGGAAUGAAAAUAGAUAGGAGACAUCCUGAAACCACAAGGCUUUGCUUAAAAGAAGGGAAGGAAGAUGAAAUUCACAUAAAUGCAAAGCAAAGUCACAUUUUGAAGCAACAUUCCCAAACCUCCAAGGCUGAUUUCCAAGGAAAACAGGAGGUUUAGGCUGAGGGCUAGCAUUCCAGAAAGUGCUCUAAUUAACUGUUCUAAUUAAAAUUGCUUUUAGGGUGACAAUGACCACUUUGGAGUCUUGGAUUUGGAAUUUCUAUCCUAGGAGGACCUUUUUGUUGUCAUUUGGUCUUUGAACCACUUGUUCUCAGAAUUUAGGUUGAUGGUAGUUAUGAAGUGAUUUCCUAAUGAAUCAAUAUAGAGCAAUUAUCUCAUGACUCCUAUAUUCUAGUUCCAGUAAAUCUUGCUUCAUUUAACUUACACUAUAUAUCAAAUGUAUUGUGCAAAACUAGUGAACCUUUUAACAGAAUAAUUAUUAAGAAACUUAAAACUUUCUUAUGUGCUUUUAGAAAUUAUUGAAAACAUGAUUUAAUUGAUGUCCAUUGUUAGAUUUAUGCUUCUGUCUUUUGCAACUAACAAAUGCAUUUGCAAUACCAAUAAGAUUUGCUUUUGUAAGACUUUAGCUUUUGUUCUUUACACAAUCCCCUUUCAGUCCAGAUUCUUCUGACCAUCAUAAGAACAAACGACCUCAGCCCACAGGAGGCCUCAUUAAGAAUAUUAAGCUACUAGUGAGGGAAAUACCCUGAGGACCUGAAUUGUAGGGGAGAGAUGAUGCAUCAGAAUGGGGUUGAGGAAGUGGUAUGCAGCAAUCAUGCCUAGCACAGUGGUAUGCUGGAUGGUGCCUUAGCACAGCUGCCCACAGUGUCAGGCAAGAUCAACUAGAGAUCAUCCUGGUCAGUCAUAAAUACUUUCAGUUCAAAUUUUGAAAGAAUAUGGCAUGGGUAGCUUUCUUUAAAAUGUAAUUUUUAAGAUAAAAAGCAAAUAUCAUUAUAAUGUCAUUAGAACUGUGAGUAAAAAUGAAAGAACAGUAUCUAUUCAUGUGUUGGCAUCCUCUCAUAAGGAUGGGGACAGUAAAAUGUCUUCACAACUAAAAUUAAUGACUUCAAGCCAGCAUGACUAGUUUCAUCCAUGCAGAUAAGUAACCAUGUAGUGAUGGCUUUCAUUUAGUGAAUGACUAAUUUUCUGGUUCUAAAGGUGAAAGUGAGGUUAAGUUGUUGAAAAAAAAAAAAAGACUUAGCAGAUCUGAGUAAAGGAAAAUUAGUACUUAAAAGCUUUCUUACUGCCUCUGUUACCCUGGAUGAUGUCUGAGAUGAAGGCAGGAGCCUUGGCUUAGCCAUGGUCACAAGUCGGCUAUGCUGAAUCUGAAUCCACAAGAUGGGGAAUGGAAUGGGGAGUUAAUAAUGUCUGAGCAACCCAUGGGGUCCUCUAGGUGCAGUGAAUUUGUCUUAUUUAAUUAAAGGAGUCUCACUUUUGUCAUCUUUAGAUUGUUUUCGAAGCUCUCAUUACAUGCUCUUCCCUUGAGAGACACCUCAGACACUUUUUCUAAGUUUACCAACUAUCAUCACUUGUUAGAAAUGAGGGGUCACUGGGACCCAAACUUUCUGUUACCAAAACCAGGAUGGUGUCUAUCACAGCUGGUCACUCAAGCUUCUCCUUUGACUUCUGCCAGGAAUGAUCCAGUGUUGUCUUACCUCUUAAAAAAAAAGCCAGACUUUCAUCAGUAAAGACUGAUUUUCACAACAAAUCCAUAACUUCACUCACACACUCUUAAAUCCAACAUGGUAUUUGGGCUUACAUACACCACUGAAUUGGACCAAGGUUGCACCAUCAUGUUCGUGCUUUUGGUUCCAAUCAAGAAGGGCAGAGAGUUGGUUAGGGAGGAAAGAAGAUACUUGGGAAGGUUAAAAGAAAAGAUGAGAGACAAAAAGAAAUGGGGCUUGUGAUUUGGGAGAUGGAGUGAGGGGCAGAUUUUGAGAGCAGACGGAGAUAUUAGAAGCCACUGCUCUGAUGUGAGUGAAAAUUGGAAAUAAUUUUAAGAGCUUUGCCACAUGUUCUGAGUGGAGUGGAAUUCCCCUUUUGUCCAAGAGACUUCUUUAAUGAUGCCACCUGCUUAACAGUGAGUACUAUGUUGGGUGCCAAGAUGCAACCCAAAAAGUCGCAGUCGUUGAGUUGUGCUUCCAUGUCCUCAUGUCGUGCUCUCUUGCAGUAGGUUUUUGAAUUCCCUAUUCUCUAACUGCUGUCCAUGAGCCAUUUCCCAGAAUAUAUCUACACGGUGUUGGAAUGGACUCAGUGUAUCAGCCUUAUGUCAAAUAUUGCCUUCCAUGAUCAACGAAGCCAGAUUAAAAACUCAAACCUAUCUAGCAUUGCUCCAAGGAAUAUUUGUGAGCUAAUUGGCAAUGCUUGCUGGAGAACCAAGUGACACUUCCAGCUGAGAAAGACUGCCUUGAUUGUUCCAAGAAAGGAACACAUCCCAUGCAAAAAUGUGACAAAAGCAACGAGAAUUUCUACAGCAAAGGAAGAAGGCCAGAGGGGGAUAGAAAUUACAAUAAUAAUAAAAGAAGACCAAAUCUUUAUCCAUGAUAACUGUUUCAAAUGCCCAGACUGCUACUUUCUGUCAAAACACAUUCCCUUGAAACUCAUGACUAUCUACAUGAAAGCUUAGAAUUUAUUUUGACAUUAUCUUUUAUUCAGGUUAUAUAUUUUUAAUUCCCAAGCAUAUAAAACAGUGGAGAAAAAAUUGAAGAAAAAAUUUUAUAUUUCUUGAUUUUUAAAGGUAGCAGAAUUAUUCUAGUGGAUCUACCACAGGGGUAUAAUGAGAGGUAACAUGUGAGAUGUUAAUGGCUUCAUACUUACAUUGAUGGGAUUCACAUAACAUGAGCAACAUAAAACACAUUCUAUAAGCUGCAUUUCAGUGUAUGGGACAUAUGACCCAGCAUACUGUGUUAAUCUGUUCAGGCUGCUAUAAUAGAAUGUCAUAGCCUGAGUGGCUUAUAAGCAACAGAGAUUUUUUGCUCACAGUUCUGGAGGGUGCAGAGUACAUGGCCAAGGUGUGAGCAGUUUUAGUAUCUGGUGGAGAUCUGCUUCCUAGUUCAUCAGACAUACCUUCAUCCUCAUCAGCUAAUCAUCCUCAAAACCCUACCACGUAAUUUCAUGUCGUGUGAUCAGGCUUCAGCAUAGGAAUUGGGGCUGAGGGUAUGAGAGUGGGAGAACCAAACGUGCAGACCAUAACAUGUGCCUCGGGUUGAGAACUUCAGUUCUUUAGGAGAAAAGUGAAGAGGCCAGGGAGUAGUUGGGUGUGAGAUGUAUUCCUUCCUCACAAAAAGAGCAAAUGCAAACCUUUGGAGACAAGGUGAACAUGGUAGAAGAAUGCUUACCAUGAAAAUCAGGACGCAAAAAAGGGGGAGGAGCAUCAGUGCUAUGGUGCAGCAAGUUAAGCUGUCGCCUGUAGCACCAGCAUGCUAUAUGGUCACUGGUUCAAGUCCUGGCUGCUGUACUUCCAAUCCAGCUCCCAGCUAAUGUGCCUAGGAAAGCAGUGGAGUAAGGUGCAAUGCUUGGACCCCUGCACCCAUGUGGGAGAUCUGGAUGAAACUCCUGGCUCCUGGCUUCAGCGUGGCCCAACCCUGUUGUGGCCAUUUGGGGAGUGAACCAGCAGAUGGAAGAUCUCUCUUUCUCUGCUUCUCUCUCUCUCUCUCUCUCUAAUUCUGCCUUUCAAAUAAAUAAAUCUUUAAAAAAUUAAAAUCAGUAAGUAACUAAUGGCUUAAUGAUGGUGAGCCAAGUUGCUCAUUUUAUCAACUAAGGGCAGCCUCUUUCAUCACUUUCAGCGCUCCAAAGCAUAUGUGGGGGCAGGCAUUGUGGCAUAACAGAUUAAGCAGCCACCUAGGAUGUCAGCAUGGCCAUAUGGGUGCUGCUCUACUUCUGAUCCAGCAACCCAUUAAUAUUCCUCCUCAGAAGGAAGCAGAAGAUGGCCCAAGUGUUUGGGCCCCUGACACCCAUGCAGGAGAUCUGGAAGAAGCUCUUGGUUCCUGGCUUCAGCCUGGCCAGCCCUGGGUUUUGUGGCCCUUUGGGGAGUGAACCAGCAUAUGGAAGAUCUCUCUUCCUGUCUCUCCUUCUCUCCGUGUAACUCUGCCUUUCAAAUAAACAAAUCUUUUUAAAAAAGCGAAUGUGCAUAAGCAUCACCAGAAGCAUGCAAAUUGUUAAAAAUGCAGAUUCUCAGGCAGCACCUCUAGGGAUUCCAUUCCAGUAAAUCCCAGGUGGCUCCAGGCAGUCUGCAUUCAACACAAGCACCCAUCUUCUCUAGUUACAGUGAGGUAAGGCAGAGGAGCUGAGGCUGCGCUUGGAGCAGCAUUGGAUUCUUUCAUAAAAGCCACACAAUGAGACUGACAUUCAGAAUAGUCAUCCUACAUGGAUGCUCUUCAGAUUACACCCUUUGUCCUUUGUAAAAUGAUUUAGGUUUUACACACUUGGUCAGAAGAUCACAGCCUGGUAAGAAGAGAUGAUAUGAGGACAGAGGCCCUGACAGCCUCCCCAACACUUACAAGAUAUCUGUAGAAGCUCUGGAAGUCACUAACAGCUUCAUCUUCCAAAGUAAAUCUUUCCCCUCCCUUCUCUUUCUAAUGCCAAAAGAGAUCCACUGAGCCCUCUUCUUGUAAGUCCAACUCCUAAACAUCUCUCCGUGGUGCCCUGACCAUCAUCCCCCGGCCUGGACUGAGAACGUGGUCUGACUUUGCUUCAAAGCACCAACUUUCCUACCUCUAAUAUACAUCAUUUUACCUGCAAUAAGGGCUGUCUUGCUAACCCCCUCCUCAACUUGAUAAUUUUAAAAAACACACCAACACUGACCUCUUACAAAAUGAUGUUGAACACUCUCUUGGUAUCAAAGCGAUGCUCAGAACUUCCCUGUCGAGACUCAACAUUGCCUGAGCAUGAAUUUCCUACUGAUUUUUUUCUUUGGCUUAUGGAACAAAUGAAGGCAACAAGACAGUGGUGAGGUUUUGAGUUUCUGUGACUUAUUAUUGGUUAUUUACUAUUAGUCUAAAAGGGUUGUGGCUAUCUGACCCAGCCCUAUGAUUCUUAUCAUGAAUUUCUGUGCAAGUAAAUUGAAGAAUCUCUUCUUCAUUGUGAAAAUAACUGGUCAAGGCUACUGAGUUCCCAUUAUCCACUCUGGAGCUGGCAGUCUUGGUGGCCAGACUCAAAGAGUCCCAGAAGUCAAUGGCAAAGUCAAGGCUUCAAUUCUGGAAUCCACAGGAGGUAGCGCACUAAUUCGCAUCAUUCCCUCAUCUUAGGAAGCCACACACACACAGAUGUGUUCUGGAGGAACUUCGAAAUAUAAAAAUAUGCUGGCUAUAAUUUAGAGUUUACAAUAUUGCCCAUGUCACCACCAAGAGAAAGGUCAUCUUUGUCUCACAUGGAAGCUAACUUUUUACUUUAGCAGUUUAUUAAGUUAAUUUGUUUCCAAUAGCAAACAAAAAUCAAACCUUAAAUCUAGAUCAAGAGGGAUAUGGGAGGCAAGAGAGAGAGGGAGAGGGAGAAAAUGUAAUACAAAGAUGCUUUCAAAAUAUUGCAAUUUGUCUGGAAAUCAGAGAUGGGAAAAUAUCCAAGCUCAGCAACCCAUUUAAGAACUCUAUAAUUGGACUCCUUAACUCUCAGGGCUUCCUCCUAUUGAUUUUAUUUUGACAGUAAGAAACUGAAGUUUCUAUUUUUUUUUUUUUUGACAGAAGUCAUAUUUUCUUUUCUUGCUUUUAAAAAAAAUGUGCUUUAUUUAUUUGAAAGGCAGGCACAGGGAGAGACAGAUGGAGAUCUCCUAUCUAUUGGUUCACUCCCUAAAUGCCUGAAACAGCUGGGGUUGGGCCAGGACAAAGCUGGGGACUGGGAACUUUAUCAUGGUCCCCUAUGUGAAAGGAAGGACCCAACUACUUAGCUAUCACCACUUCCCACAGGAAGCACAUUAGGAGGAAGCUGGAAUCAGGAGCAAAUCUGUGACUCGAACCUACAAGCUUUGAUACGGGCUGCAAGUAUCCCAAGCAGCAUCUUAGCCAUGGCACUGAACUCCUGCCCCUGAAGUUUCAAAGUAACACACAGAUGUAUUUCACACAUAAUUUGCAUAUUUUCAGCAGUCUUCCUGGCUCCACCUUAAAGGCUGUGUAACCCUGGGUAAGGGACUUUUCCUUUUUUCUCACUUUCCUUCCUCUCUAAGAUAUCCCCUCUACAGCAAUGUGAGAACUGUGAUAGUUCAUAUAGAGGUAUUCAAUAAUUAACUAAAAUUAUUAUGUGCAAAUGUGGGCGAAGAAGCCCAGAGGAAGACAGAGGCUCUGCCCUUAUGGGGAUUACAGUCUAAUGGAGGAUACUCAUAUUAAACAAUCGCUCAUAACUGUUUCUCCACAAUGUUCACUGGCACUAUGAAAGAGGAAUGUGUACAAUGUGCUAUGAUGCGGUUGCCAAGAGGACUGUGAGGAGGCAGAGAGGAUUUUCCCAAUGAAGGGAUUACAGACUGAAACUUGAAAAAGGGUGAAGAGGUUCUGCCAAGGACAAGGCAGAACCUGAGUGAAAGAAUAUAGGAAUGUAAGACAAUCGAGUUAAAGAAUGGCAGCAAGUGAGAGACAUGGCCCUGAACUACUAUCCCAUGGCUGAAGGAUUGAGUCAGGCAUCCCAGUUCAGUUAAGGAAAGCAGCUUUGCCUUGUAGCCCAGGCUCAGAAGGGGGUAACACUUUUGUAACAAAAUAAGCUGAAAUUUAUACUCAAAGGACAAAUAUAAACAGGGAAGAGCCAAAAAGGUUUUGGGAACAACAUCAAUCUUCAUUGGGCAAAAUAUAUUUGGGUUUCUUUCCUUUUACUUGUUUUUAAUUUUUUUUUGGUUGUCUAUUCUGUAGAUUUAUGGAGAAAGCUACAAAAUGCAACCCAGAUGUUUUCCCUCCCAAGCUCUGAAGAUCUGAAGCUGACCUUUCCCUCCAUCAAGGAACAGAGAAGAGAAUGGUCUUGACUCACUGCAGACCCUGGAAAGCUUCAAAAGGCACUGGAGGCUGUCCCCAGAAUGGGUACCUUCCAACUGAAUGACUCAUCCUUGCAGAGAGCGCCUGCCAGCACGAGUGGAGUCCCAGCCUGCUGGUUACAGGUCAUUGGACCGGCACUGUGACAUAGUAGGCUAAGCUUCCACCUGUGGUGCCAGCAUCUCAUAUGGACGCUAGUUUGUGCUCUGCUUCUGAUCUAGCUCUCUGCCUGUGGACUGGGAAAGCAGUGGAAGAUGGCCCAAGUGCUUUGGGCCCCCACAGCCACAUGGGAGACUUGGAAGAAGCUUCUGGCACCUGGCUUCAGACUGGCCCAGCUUCAGGCAUUGCAGACAUUUGGGGAGUGAACCAGCAGGUGGAAGAUCUUUCUUUGUGUCUCAUCCUCUCUGUGAGUCUACCUCUCAAAUAAAUAAAUAAAUAAAUAAAUUCUUUAAAAAAUCCAGCUCCACGAAAUUCAUUUAUUUUGUUAAUAAGCAUGCUUGUAUGUGUGUGUGUGUGUGAUUACUUUAAGAAAUAUAUAUAAUUAAGCUUUUUAGAUAGUCUAUUUAGUAGAAUGUUAAAGUUUGGGAACACUUAUUCUAAAUAGUCACAGUCUUGUCAUGAUUAACAUCCUAGUGGCUAGGAAACUAACUGCCAGCUGUCCAAUAAAGUCCUUAUGUUUUGGCAGUAAUGAGGACCAUGAGUGAAUUUUUAUUUGAGAACUAGAAAGAAGAGUUAGUUCUGAAAGUACUUUGAGUAGGGUCGGAUUUUGAGGGCAAAGCAUCUUGGAAGACUGAAAGAGUGAGAGCAGCUGAGAAUCUUUCUUAUGUGGCAGCAUUGGCCAACAUGCUGAGGACAGAUGCUGAGCCCCUAAAAUGUUCCUCUGGUUGUCAGCCUGGGUCUCCAGUUGCAAGCUGUGUUGUCAGGUCCUGUCACUGUGCCUGUAAACUUCAACUUUCCAUCUGAACUGAGUUCCCCCAAUCCUCCCCACUGAGCCCAAUCUUCUUCAACCUGACAUUUAAUCCCUCCACUCCCACUCCUUCCAGAAAGAGAAAGAAAGAGGGUGAGAUGGGAGAAAAACAUUAAAGAGAUGAAAUAUAAAAGAAAAAGAUGUUACUACACCAGUUUCUAUCCAUGGGGCAAAAAAGUUUAAUUCAUCCUGUUACUGGUUUCCCAUCCCUUGAUCAAAUACUUUUUCCUUUACUGGAUAUAUCUAAUAGUUAAGCCUUUCUUCUCCAGGGACAAGAAUCCUCUUGACUAUAUUCCCUCUCUUUAAUAGUUCUCAACUCUGUGCAUAGACUAGCCUGGUAAACUUCCACCAGCAACAGUAACAUCAGUCAUCAGUUAAGUGCCACUUGGUGUGCCCAUACCCUAUAUUGGAGAGCCUGAGUUUGAGUGUCAGCUCUGUUUCCAAUUCCAGCUUUCUACUAAUGUAUAAAGUGGGAAGCAGUAGGUGAUGGCUCAAGUAGUUGGGUCCCUGCCACCCACAGGAGAGACCUAGAUUGACUUCCAGGCCCCUGAAUUUGUCCUCGCCCAGCACUGGCUGUUGUGGGCAUUUGUUGAGUUAUCCAGUGGUUAGGAGAUCUCUCUCUCUCUCUCUCUCUCUCUCUCUCUCGUGCGCAUUUCUUUCAAGUUAAAUAAAUUUUCAAACAGAAAGAAACAUUGCCAUCUAGUCCAAUAAAUCUAUGGUAGGAGGAGGAGCACAGAAUCAGUCUUUAGAAGCAUCCUAGAGUCAAAACUGUAUUUAGAGGGUCUCUUGAAUAUUUUAUUAUAAUCAGAUUGCAUAGAAGCCUAGCAGAAUAGAAAGAAGUCAAAGGUGUAGGUGGAAAUGGUAUUGGAAGGACAGAAUAAAUGAAAGAGAGAAAAAGGAAGGUCUUCUUUUGAUUCCUACAAAGAUUCAGGAAUGCAAAGGGAUGCAGCUUGAGUUAGGAUCAGGGUAUCACCUUUUAUAAGUCAAACAGGUAUCAUUAGGACUAGUGCCUGGCUCUUCUGAACCCUAGUUCAUUGUUUUUGAAUCUGGAGUACUCAGAAGGGUAAACAAAACUUGAAUCAGAUUCCAGGUCAAGCAGAGAAGAAUCGGAAGCAGAUGGUUCUAAACUGGGAGAUUGGCUUUGGAAAUCCAGAAUUCUGGUCCCUCCCAUUGGUGCUGGGGUCACAGACAGACCACUUUGGAUUUCUGGGGCAGGGUUCUGAACAAACAAGGCCAUGAAGGUUCCAGGUAUGAGCAGUCACAUUGCCUAAGGUUCAAGGCAGCAGCAGGCAGUGCCCUCCUGCAAGUCUCAACUCACCAAGGAACUUCCUGCUGCCUGUACUAGUCUGAAACAAACCUGCCAAGUCCCCCAUGAGAUCCCUACAUGGACUAAGGUAUCUCUAAGAACAUAAAUUGGAACAUGGAGCAAACUGACAGUCUGGAAAAACAUUAUCUGCUAGUAAGUUAAUGGAAUAUUAGAAUGUGCACUAGCAAGCAUGCCUUUACUUAAUUCUGCAGCUUAAAGGUAAAAUAUGAUGAAUGAGUUAAGGUUUGAAGACCUUCUUCCUCAAACAGAAUUGAAAAUCUAUAAACACAAAACCCAAAUGCUUUUGAUUUAAACAAAACUACUAGCGUGACUUUCCAUUGGCAGGUGGUGUAUGCUGAUGGCUUUCCACUAAAAGUGUUCAGUCUGUUGACCCACUUCCAUGAUCUUCUCCUGUCCCCUUGUGGUCAAUGGGUGACAUUUACCCCAUGGCACAAAACAGAGCAAGUGGGGAUGACAGCUGUGCUCUCCUCUCAUCUGGAAAAUGCUCAAUUUAGACAGCGCCGUGACCAAGAGACCCCUAUUAUUUGAUGCACUCACAAUUAGCCUCCUCUAGUCUGCAAAGACACAGAAUCUACAAAUGACCUUUAAUCAUCCAAGAAAGGAAAUUUGAGGAAAUGGCACCCCCUGCUGGUACAUUUUAUCAUCAUCAAAAUCUAAUUAAUCUCCCAGAGCCAAAGGAAGAGAGACAUAGUGCAGAGGAGACACACAUGCACAAGAGUGAUGCUGCCAGCACAACUUCUGACAGCUCUAGAUCUUCACCUUGCUGAAGUGGUACUGCGGCCUGAUACAGUGUUUUCUUUUAGGCUGUCACCCCCUCCUUUCUUUGCUGUAACCUAAGUACCACCAAGAAUGAAACUAGGUACUGCCUUUAGAUCCCUGUGUACUCCUGAAGAUAUUCUUUCAUUUUUGGAGGGAAAGACAAACACCACAGCUUCUUAUCCUUAGUUUGUAGAUCUCCCACUUAGAGAGAGAUAAGGGGAGAGAGAGAGAGAAGGAGAG
Oryctolagus cuniculus (rabbit) is the source of this 12651-nucleotide non-coding RNA. The record is from RefSeq and is a predicted model, not a curated record. NCBI's taxonomy places the organism in Eukaryota, Metazoa, Chordata, Mammalia, Lagomorpha, Leporidae.